This 777-nucleotide ribosomal RNA is filed under the name Psychrobacter sp. Y4_347_3. Its description in RNAcentral is "bacterial SSU rRNA". It matches the Rfam family "Bacterial small subunit ribosomal RNA", at positions 79 to 855 of the family's 1533-position model. The record is from RNAcentral. Lineage: Bacteria; Pseudomonadati; Pseudomonadota; Gammaproteobacteria; Moraxellales; Moraxellaceae.
GCUAGAAGAUGACGAGCGGCGGACGGGUGAGUAAUACUUAGGAAUCUACCUAGUAGUGGGGGAUAGCUCGGGGAAACUCGAAUUAAUACCGCAUACGACCUACGGGAGAAAGGGGGCAACUUGUUGCUCUCGCUAUUAGAUGAGCCUAAGUCGGAUUAGCUAGAUGGUGGGGUAAAGGCCUACCAUGGCGACGAUCUGUAGCUGGUCUGAGAGGAUGAUCAGCCACACCGGGACUGAGACACGGCCCGGACUCCUACGGGAGGCAGCAGUGGGGAAUAUUGGACAAUGGGGGAAACCCUGAUCCAGCCAUGCCGCGUGUGUGAAGAAGGCCUUUUGGUUGUAAAGCACUUUAAGCAGUGAAGAAGACUCUUCGGUUAAUACCCGGAGACGAUGACAUUAGCUGCAGAAUAAGCACCGGCUAACUCUGUGCCAGCAGCCGCGGUAAUACAGAGGGUGCAAGCGUUAAUCGGAAUUACUGGGCGUAAAGCGAGCGUAGGUGGCUUGAUAAGUCAGAUGUGAAAUCCCCGGGCUUAACCUGGGAACUGCAUCUGAUACUGUCAGGCUAGAGUAGGUGAGAGGAAGGUAGAAUUCCAGGUGUAGCGGUGAAAUGCGUAGAGAUCUGGAGGAAUACCGAUGGCGAAGGCAGCCUUCUGGCAUCAUACUGACACUGAGGCUCGAAAGCGUGGGUAGCAAACAGGAUUAGAUACCCUGGUAGUCCACGCCGUAAACGAUGUCUACUAGUCGUUGGGUCCCUUGAGGACUUAGUGACGCAGCUAA